UACGUAGGGUGCAAGCGUUGUCCAGAAUUAUUGGGCGUAAGGAGCUCGUAGGCGGUCUGUCGCGUCUGGUGUGAAAAUCCAGGGCUUAACCCUGGACCUGCAUCGGGUACGGGCAGACUAGAGUGCGGUAGGGGAGAUCGGAAUUCCUGGUGUAGCGGUGAAAUGCGCAGAUAUCAGGAGGAACACCGGUGGCGAAGGCGGAUCUCUGGGCCGUAACUGACGCUGAGGAGCGAAAGCAUGGGGAGCGAACAGG
Molecule: ribosomal RNA, 253 nt
Filed under: uncultured bacterium
Lineage: Bacteria
Description: partial 16S ribosomal RNA
Rfam family: Bacterial small subunit ribosomal RNA
Source: RNAcentral